This is a long non-coding RNA of Manis pentadactyla (Chinese pangolin), 731 nucleotides long. RefSeq lists it as uncharacterized. NCBI's taxonomy places the organism in Eukaryota, Metazoa, Chordata, Mammalia, Pholidota, Manidae. The record is from RefSeq and is a predicted model, not a curated record. The transcript is spliced from 3 exons.
AGUGAGGAGAGGGUGUGUUUGUGCAGCGGGCGGAGGGUGGGCAGGCCGGGGGACACGGAGCAGCCACCUUGGCUGUCUUCCUCCCGUGGGCCUCCCGUCCAGCCAGGCCACGCUGAGCGGCGCUGUGUCAAGAUGUAGGGCGGACAGAACCUCCCCAUCGAAACACACUCCUUUCUCCUCCUUGGGGCGUCAGAGGGAGGCAUUCCUUGCUGAGGAAAAGCUGUCCAGCUCCCUUUUUAAAGCUCUUUAAUCUCCCGUGCUACGAUAAAGUACCACUGAAGAGUGGGUUUAAAAGAAACUUGCACAGCUACCUAGUCACUCCACUGGAGCUGGACGAUGGCCAUUCCUCCGUCUCUUCUGCUCUUCGUCCUACAUCCUGAGCAGUGCACAGACUUCUGCGUACAUUUGCUACUGAGUCUUCUAAAAUUCAAAAUCAGGUCUGGUGGUAAAUAGAAGGAACUGGAAGUGAAUGGCAUAUUCUAAAGGCUGUUUAACGAUAUGGUAGGUCUCAGCUCAAAUGUCAGCUCCUCAGACCGGCUGUCCUCCACUGCCCUCCCUACAGAAGACGGCCAGUGACGCGUGCCCUCACCCCACUCAGUGCCUUCAUAGAUCCUGUUGGCUUAUUUGGAAGCAAUAGAUACCCUGCCUUGCUCAUCUCUGUAUCUCUAGAACGCAGAGAAAGGCCUGGCUCAUAGUAGGAGCACAGUAAAUGUUUUUCAAUAAAUGAAUGA